This 88-nucleotide transfer RNA is filed under the name Daphnia magna. It matches the Rfam family "tRNA". Rfam says of the family: Transfer RNA (tRNA) molecules are approximately 80 nucleotides in length. Their secondary structure includes four short double-helical elements and three loops (D, anti-codon, and T loops). Lineage: Eukaryota; Metazoa; Arthropoda; Branchiopoda; Diplostraca; Daphniidae. The record is from Rfam by way of RNAcentral.
GGUCGUGUGGCCUAACGGAUAAGGCGUCGGACUUCUAUUAGACAUUAGUGACAUCCGAAAAUUGCGGGUUCGAAUCCCGCCACGAUUA